This 619-nucleotide long non-coding RNA is filed under the name Chloebia gouldiae (Gouldian finch). Its description in RNAcentral is "Erythrura gouldiae (Gouldian finch) lncRNA (ENSEGOG00005004206.1)". The record is from RNAcentral. Lineage: Eukaryota; Metazoa; Chordata; Aves; Passeriformes; Passeridae.
CUAAAACUAGAAUUAAACUUCUUUACCUGGAGUGCAGUAGCACCCUAGGGCAUGUCAUUCGUGGCAAUGGUGGGAUUUCUCUCCUUGGUGACUUUCAGGGAUCACCUACACAAAAAGCAUCCCCGGUCUGAUCUGGUGUUGAUGUUAAUGAUGCUCCAAGAAGAAGGAGGCUGGCCUAGAAACCUCCAGAGGUCCUUCUCAAAUGUUUUUUCUAUGAUCUUACAGUUCUGGCCAGGUCUGGGUGCUCUGCCAGUAGAUGUCCCUGCAUGCCUGGCUGUGGUGGAUGUGCUGUCUUUUCCUGGGAAAACUGACUUCCAACACACUGAACAUCACAUCAUUCCCCAUUUUCUUGAAACAGAUAUUGCUUUGGUGCACUGAAUUGAACAAAACAAGACAAACUGAAACCAAAUCCUGCUCAGCACCAGGUACUCAGUGCUUGGUAGGAGUCACUUGGCAAUUUUACAGAUGCUGAGAGUCUCAACCUUCAGCCCAUAAGGUGUUUCCUGUAAUAUGAGAAUUUAUCAGCUGGCUUUCAGAGCCACAUAGGUGAGUUUUAAGUGUUUUCUGCAGUGCUCUGUGCUCUGUAUUAUAAUCCUGCAAUUACAUAUUUGCAUGCCUG